UACGGAGGGUGCAAGCAUUAAUCGGAAUCAUUGGGCGUAAAGCGCACGUAGGCGGCUCGUUAAGUCGGAUGUGAAAGCCCUGGGCUCAACCCAGGAAGUGCAUUCGAUACUGGCGAGCUUGAAUAUGGAAGAGGGUUGCGGAAUUCCCGGUGUAGAGGUGAAAUUCGUAGAUAUCGGGAGGAACACCAGUGGCGAAGGCGGCAACCUGGGCCAAUAUUGACGCUGAGGUGCGAAAGCGUGGGGAGCAAACAGG
Molecule: ribosomal RNA, 253 nt
Filed under: uncultured bacterium
Lineage: Bacteria
Description: partial 16S ribosomal RNA
Rfam family: Bacterial small subunit ribosomal RNA
Source: RNAcentral